CUGGAUUAGGGGUUCCAUGGUAAUUACAGAGCAAUGGCAAAGUGCCUCUCGGCUGACCCGUGGAACAUGGUGCUGGCUGGGAGCUGCAGUGAAAACUUCUGGAUAGAUGUCAGGGCUUUUUCUCCUACUGUGAUUUAUUGAUACAUUUACCAGGAAUGAAAACAGUACAGGUCUCUGAAAACGUCACAGCAGCCUACAGAGAUUAGAUGAAAAAGUGGAGAAUUUAGUAGGGGACACUAAAAGCCUUGUAAAUGAAGUAUUCAGCUGUGCAAUUAAAUUCUAUUGCUGAGUAAUUUAUUGCAUCAUCACUGAAAAGCUGAAGGGAAGUUAUCGAGUCCUAAGGGACUGAGUAGGACAUACCCCUGUGCUAUGCCCAAGUGCUCAGCAACUCUCAGACAUCUACUGGCUGCAUCAGCAAUGUGGGAAGAAAAAAGGCACACCACGUGCAGGAAUAACAACUGUUAUUUAAGAAAAAGCAGCUGUAUUAGUCAAGCCACAGUGUGCAUCAGCUGAGCAGAUAGGUCCCCAGGCCUGUGAUAUAUAGGGCAAUCACCCCAAGCUAUACACAGCCUUCUUGUCCCAGCCCACAUGGCUCGUCCUGGGGAAAGCAGGAGGAGAUACUGAACAAGGCCUCCUGCAAAGCUGUUAUGUACAGAUGGUUUUUUACAUCGUGCCUGGAAGGGUCAAAGAUAUUUGAGCUGUUUCACACCGCUGGGGCUAGGGACAGGCUCCAUAGCCAGUGGGCAUUGGCAAAAUGUUCUGUUGGCAGCCCUCUCCCUUCUCCAGCGAGGGUCUUUUCUGCCUGCCAUGCAGCCAGUUGCAACUCACUCAAAGUGGUGGGUAGUGCUUCCAUUUGGAGAUGGACCAGUAUGCACCUCAAAGGACAAGCAGUCUUCACUACCUCCUUAGCCUCUGUAAGCUAUUUUGGCUUUACCUGAACAUUUCUCAGAGACAUCUGAAAUGGAGAAUCAAAACCUUGAUUGCAAUUAGGAAGGGGUUAAACAAAAUUAAGUGAAUAAAAGGCUCCAAACAUUUUCAGGUAAUUGUGGUCAGCAAGUUUAGCUGAACUCCUUCUGGGAGAAACUAUGGCAGAAUUCACCACGUCUUUCAGACACAUCUGUGUGUAUUUCACUGUGACCAACAGUGUCACAGAUAAGAGGUAAUUCCCUUAACAAAGGGUUAAACCAGCGGAGGACGAAUAGGUGGGAUUACAGAUGAAUUUCAGGCUACAGUGUCAGGAGAAGCAUCAGAGUUAAAUGCCCUGCUGUAUACUUUCUGAGGGUAAAACAGCCCCUCUGUAAUACAUUGUUUCCUUCAAGGCAACAAAAGAAGAGAAAUGGAUAGAAAUGGAAGCAAACAUCCUUGACUAAUGAAAGACACGAGGGCUGGCAAACUUCAAAUGACUCCAAGUUGGAGAUGUGAGAGCCCACCCAAUAUUCAUGCAUAUAUAUGUAUAUAUAUAAAUUGUCACCAAAAUAUCCCCUGUGCUUGAAUUAAAGUCUUAUGCUAGCCGGUCUCCCAUUCAAUUCCACAUUUUCUGGUUUGUCUCAGAGGACUUCAGCAAGAGCCCACACCUCUGCAGUCACGCAACCUGAUGGCCAUGAGAAGAAGUUUUGUCCUGGUGACAGGCAAACUCCUUUCCUUGGCUGUAGACACAACGGAGUGGAUUUCUGAAGUCCCCUGAAGUAUCAAUAACACAUUUUUAAAAAUGGAUGUACAGUAAGAGUUGGAUUUCUGGAGGGGGAAGAGCUACCAAAAUUAUUGGUUCCAGCCUGGUUAACUGAAAGCUCCAUGAGAAACACAAAGUGAGGUGAGGCGACACACGGCCACCCAUUGAUGUAAUGAGGAGGAAACACAAAGGCAUUAGAGAAUACAGAUGGAAAGUGGUAUUUUGGCAUUUUCACAAUGAAAUAAGAUAAUUGUUAGACUUUAGGUAAACGUAUGUUUUGGUGGGCUCAGAAGAGAAGUGGAAAGAGUUUGCACAUGUAGGCCUUGGAUACUUCCACAGUGCCACCCUCCAUUGCUGGAAGGGAAAUGCAUUUGAAUCAUUACAUGCACCUUUAGCAAGAACCCAUGACAUCAUAUUUCCAAAUAUUUUGCAAAAAACAAAGAGGCUGAUUUAGUCAUGAGUCAGAUAUUGUUAACUUGAGAAAUAUUAGUGAAUUAAGUUUAUAUCAAUAUAUCAAUAACAUUAAUAACUAUUGGGUGCUCUGAUAUAAAUUAGUUAGCAUUGUGCUAGAAAAUGGUUUAGGAUAUACAGAGUGAUUUACAUAGCAGAUCGUGUCAUGUGCCUGACUACUCUGCUUUUCAUAUAUUUAUUUGGAGAGCCAGACAGAUAACAGAAAAAGUAAUUAAUAGAUUUGGCUUGAAAAAUGUUUAGGUAUUAGUGUAUAUUCUAGUAAUCAGUCUGAUCCCAGUAGCUAGGUGAAAAAUGGGGAGCAAAUACUUCACUUACUGGAGAUACAGCAUGAAAUUCAUUGCAUCGAUCAUCUAAAAGUCACCUCUUAGUUUUAGCAGGGUGGAUAAAAUCAGUGAAAUACAGGAGAAAGCAGUGAGAAAGAAGGCAGUCAUGUCUGGCUACUUGCUCUCAGGAAGUGACCAAGCCACUGCUGGAAAGCCAAGCUCUCAGCUGGAGAACGAUCACUGCCUGGGGACUCAGUCAGCCACACAGAUACUGAUGACACAAGACAUGAUAAGAUGGCCACAAAGUUCUCUUGAUGGAAGCACUUACCUGCAGACCUGCAAGUGCCGGGAACAGUGCUGGAGGCAGGCUUUGGCAGGGAAGUCUGGCUGAGGGUAGUUUGUCCUUCUGACCAGGUAAUUUCUUCUGUGACACAAAUAGACUCAGAAUAUUACAUGAGAUACAAAACAGAAGGAAGCUGGCACUGUUAGUGAUUAUUUAUUACCUAUUUAUUAGCAGGUAAUGGCUGACCUGCAGGCAAUACUGAAGAAAUGCAUUAGUCUCACUCCUAAAUUACAAACAGUUUUGACUUCUGCUACUGAGCCUCAGAAAUCUGUCUUACAUUGGUCAGUCUGGCCACCAGAUUAGCUUUUUAGCUGCUGCUGAGGAAAUGGCUGUGUUGGAGGAACGUGAGUUAUUAAACCAAAAAAGUGCAUCAGUAGUGUAUGAAUACGAAGGCUACCCAAGCAUCUCUGCUUCCUACAUCACAGAGCUGGUGUUCAAGUACCCAGCGAAAAAGCAGCAAUUGCUGCACAAUUGCUGUUAUUCCAGAAUAAAACUUGAAAAGAAAUCAACCAACCAACCAACCAUCAUUUGACCACUUCAAAUUUAUAGAAAUACCAAAAAUUCAUCGCUUCUUGAAGAGCCAGGUGGGCUAGCAGCUGAUGGCAAACAUUCCUGCAUUCCUGAUGAAAAGCCUUUGUAUUUUUUCUUGCAACACAAUGACGUGUUCUUGUUACAUCCUCUUCACUCUUGACCCCCAGGAUUGGCAAGCCACUCCUUCCCCUGCCUUUCCACACCUGGCAUCCUCCACGCAAACAUCUGUGUUUCAAGGCCCCAUGCUUCUUCCCCAGGCUGUCUCUGUAUCAUAAGCUAUACAAACAGGAAGCAUGGACAUUUACAUCAUUUGAUGUAAACCAGAGCAAAAAGGAGAGUGACAAACAACAAGCGGGGUAAGAGGGAGACUGUGAAACCAAAGCAAAUAAAAUUAGAUCACAUAGCUGCAUAAUUGAGCCAGUCCCUGUUUUCAAAUCUUAUCAAGGGGCUACUUUCAAAUGUAAUUAUAGCAAAUUACAGCUAGUGAUGCCAACCUACACGCCACUGCUUAUAGGUAAAGCAGAAACUGGUCACAGAGAGACUUUGGAAGAGAAGACAGAAGUGGCCAGAGGAUUUCUGGGAAUACAGGUACGCCCAGGCUUUAAAGUGCCCUAUGAAUCCUUUAUCUGAUCUAAUAACUGAAACAGAGUUGGAUUAUAUCUGUAGGGACAAGUCCACAGGAUCUCAAAUCUUAGGAAGAUCUCUCUUUUGAUAAGACCCAGUGCUCGCCUCCCCUACAAACUUCACGCUUCAUCUUUUUAGCUGUCUUUACUAUGGGUGCCCAGGUUGUGCAUAUUAACAGAGAAGCUGUUCAGGGAUUAAAAGGAGAGAAGUAGGCUGCAGGUAUUUUCUCCACCCAAAAGCAGGGUAGAUGAACCCUAGGAAGCAUAUCUACACAGACAUCAUGAGACAGGUCAAAUUCUGCUGGUAAACGGUCACAACAAAUAUAAUAGGAUUGUAUUUCAUUAUAACACAAGCUGUUCUGCAAGGGAAAAGGUCUUUUGAGAUUUGUUGCAGAACUGCACAGAUCACCUUAUCUGUUCUUACUGAAGUGAUUCAAUUUGUUGUAGUGCGUCACUGAUUCAAGGCCAGAACUUUGCUAACCCUAAGUGCUGUAUGAUUAACAGCCUCUUGCUCCAACAAAUUGCUGGUUUGCACUCUGCAACCAACUUUUCUUUGCAAAAUUUGGUCUAAUGUUUAUUACAGAGCUUCAUGUUUUGCAUAAGAUUUUGCUUCAGGGAAAUUGGGUUUCCAGUAUCUAUCUCAUUUCAGUGCAAUUAGAAGAGAAAAUCUGAUUUUCUUUUAAUUCAAGGUAGAUCACAUUUCAAGUAUCACCGAGAAAGAAACGUCCUGCAACUUGCAUUUUGAUUUAUGACUACUCCUUUCAGAACAAUUACUAUUUAUACAUUCAUUUAUCGUGCCUCUUGGUGUCAUAUUUUUGGCAAAGUCACCGGACAAUGUAGUGUGUCCCAAUUCUCCCUCCAUCAGAAAACAUUUAGCCGAAUUGCCUUUUAAUAACGAUACUGCCUUUUAAUUUUGCAAAAUGAGAACGUGGAUUGUACCACUUUACUCAGCUCUUCCUUUGAUUAAUGGGAAUACACUUCUGCAUACAGAGAAUGAGGCUUCAUGCAUUAUGGCCUGAAAAAAAUUCCAAUAUAAAGUUUCAAGUAUAAAAACCCCAGGGAACAUACAAUGUAUUGCUUUAAGGUAGGUUUGGGGUGAACUGAAAGGUAAGACAGGGGAAAGGCGGAGGAAGAGAUUCUGCUGGAAACAAGGCUGUUUAUGGGAACCGAGUCAGUGCCUGGGUGUAUGUAUUGCUUGGAUAAAGACUGGAGAAGAAAAGAAAGACACCGCUGAUAACGAUAAUAGAUGAUUCUGUUUGCUGCUGUCUUCCAUCAUAGAAAAAUACCAUAGGCCAACAGUUAAACAUCAUCUAUUUUAAUUAGCAUCUAAAGCAUUUAGUUAUCUAUGUAGUAAGUAACUGCAACAAAACUAUGUCAGGCUGGAAUGCAAAGAGGGAGUUGUGGAAGGAAAAGCAAUCUGAUCUGAGCUCAGAGCUGUGGCCUCCCUUCAGAUACCUAAACGCUUACAUCCUAAAUUCCAGCUGACAUUUUAAAAGGAAAAAAAAAAAAAAAAAAUGAAGUGGAGGACAAAAACAACUGAUACGAAGAAAUUAAUUCUCCUGCCCUCAACUUUUCAAUGGGCUGACUUUUGGACUUAAGCAGAGUUACAUGCUGGCACAAAUGCCAGCACAUUGCUCAAUCAGUAUAUGAAUGGACUGCUAAAUGUUCAUGAACUUCUACAGGAUAUUCACUAUUCAAAGUGUGAGAUAUUAACCACUUAAUUUAUUUUUAAAACACUGACUAUUUGUGAUCUUGAUCAAGCACUGCUUCCACUUAUAUCUUCUGGGGGAUGGAUGGGAACCACAGCCAAGUGCAGCCUCCAUCUCUCCCUUCCUCCAGACCAGGCACGCUCCCCUUCUAAAAGAGACGACUUCCCAAAUGUUCAUGGCACCAACAUUACAAGUGAGAGCACACAACCUGUUUUCAGGAAUCACUUGCUCUUCCUCACCCUGACUACUCUAGACGUGCACCCUGUGUAGAUGGUGCUUGGGUUCCAAACAGGGCAUACCAAUGCUCUCAGCACUACCCUGCAGAGAGUUGUAUUUAUGGAUUGGUGGUUUGGCUUUGAUCAGAUUGCUUAACUCUGCUUUGUAUAGUGAGCUUCCCUAACUAACGGCCACAUUUUAAUCUAGCCUAGAAAAAAACUGGAACUACACUUCUGAGUGCAAAGCUGCUCUGAACAGCUUGCCCAGAAGUACAGUUACUGAAAAUGUUUACACAUGUAAUUUUAUUGCAAGUGUAUACACAACAGUGUCUUUAUUGAUUACUUUCCCAGUUACGGAAGUGUCUCACUAUUUCAACCCCAGCUCAACCUGCAACCUUUUCAGUUCAAUCACACACCAUUUAAUGCUGUCCUAAUAUUAGCAACCCUUUAUUUCCACAACCUGGAUUUUCCAUAUUUUCAUCCCUGUGACCAGCAGAAAGCUCAUUGCCAAAUAACAAUGAGCUCAUCUCAAACGCUAAUGCAGUCAGUGCCAGGUGAACAAAUUGUCUAUUAUUAGACUUUUUCAUGCACUAAGAGCUUUUGUUCCCUCCUUGCCUGUCUUAACACCUGCUGUUGCAAUGCGUAUCAACUUUCAGAACAUCGUUCACACUAACAACAGAACAUAAAAUGUAUUGGGGAAAUUGCUCAUGCAAAAAGUGAUUAAGUUUUGUAAAGAAAGCUUUGUCAAGUAAAAAGGAAGAAAAGUAAGGCAUGUGGUGAUGGGAAUGGAGUAAUUAUGAAUAUAAAUAAAAAAUCUGCACUAAAUUGAUGCAACAAAAAGUUAGACGUUCAAUAGCAGUAAAUUCAUUCAGUGGCAUUCAGGAAAACACAAAUAGUUGUGAGAAAUGAAUUUGUAUUAGUAGUAGUAGUAAUAGGAAUUUUUUUCCUUCAGUGAGUUUCACACAAAUAUAGAGUGUUUGACUGGUGUGUGAAAGCGUUGAUGGGAUUGUGUGGGUUGGGCAUAUGGAAAAGGUGUAACCCAAACCCAGCAGCUUAAAAAACACAUAUAUAGAUAUUUAAAAAUAUUUAGUAGUGUGAUCCAAGCGUUAGAGAAGGAAAUUAUAAUUAACAGGUUAUAAGGUAUGUUAUGAAGAGGUCUGACUUGUGCUGGAACAAGAAUAGUCAUUGCUCAUGGUAUGGAAAUGGACUACUGUUCCUAGGUGAAAUGGUACUUUUUGCUUUUCACUUUUUUAUUCUGUCAAGCAAAUCAUAAUUAGAAGGUUGCUUUUACAAACAGGAAGAGCAGUGUGACCUGUGGCUGAAGCAUGAGCAGAAGCAACCUGUCAGGACAGGCAAAAUUCCUGUCUGUGGCUGAAUCUCUUUUCCUCUCAGCAACUCAGCAAUGUGCACUUAUGAUAAAAUAAAAUUCCUCUUUAUCCUCUUUCAGCUGCCAUAUCUAUCUAGAUUGGGAACAUUUCCGGCCCAAAACCCUCUCUCCCUGUGUAUUUAUCCUCUGUGUAGCACAUGGGAACUCCAGGCUCAAUUGCAUGCACAGUACACAGUGAAGACAUCUACAGAAAGUGGAACGGAAAAGUUUUUGUUACUUCUUGUUACUGUGGAACAAAUUCUGACUUUGGUUUAGGACCCCUAUCAGAAAGCUAACAAAGGCCAAUUCCUAGAAAAUCAGAGCUUAGGUUAAAUAUUCAAAUAACAAGUAAGCUUUGCAUACAAAUAACGCAACAAAUAACCCCAAUACAUAAUUGAGUUUCUCUGCUUUUUUUUCUCUUCUUUCUCCUUCUCCUGCCUCCCCCAGGUCACACACUAUGAGGAUACACGUGAAUGGCAUCCUCUGCACAGGACACAGCCACAUAAAUUCAAGCCUCUAUGGAAAGUCUUGCAAGGUUCUGGCUGCAUUUGGAUUAUAUCAUUCUCAGAUUGAAACUGAGGAGAGAGAGGAUUCAUUACUGACUUUUCAUGUUGCUUAUUUAAAAAAAUACAAUCAAUCAGAAAGUUAUGAAAAAAUAUUACUUACAAGAAACAAAAAGACAACGAGCAGACUCAGCAGAAGGAUUUGCUCUACUUAAAUAUUAAGUCCAAAUGCAUCUGCUAAAACAACAAGAACAACAAAAUAAAACUCACAAAAAACAACACAAAGUUACUUAGGCUGUUGAUCAGAUUUAAACUUAUUCUCCGUUACCUGUAGUUAUCACCAGCUUGGCAUGUGGCUCAGCCUCCUGGCCAGACCUCUGGAACCAUGACAGGAGAGGCAAGUUCACCACAGUGACUGGCCUUCAUCCAGAGACACCUGUGUAGCAUUCUCUGCUUCGAGUUAUCUAAGUCUCCUUUGCAUCCACCUCAUUCUUUCAAGAGAUAUAGAACAGUUAUGGGUGCGAGGGGGUGAGAGAUGCAGGCAACUCUUUCCAAAACUGAGCAAAAAUUAUUUCACUAAGGAGUCAGCAGGUAGGACCUGCAGCAGGACACUGCUCUGCUCAGCCUUCCCAAAAAUCUACGCAAAAUGUGGAAUGUUAACUUUGACAUAUAAUAAUGUUAUAUACUGAUUAACAACAAAGCAAAAUACUAAAGACACAAAUAAAGAAGUAGAUAUGCAAUAGGGGAAAAAACAGAAGAAGUUUCACUAAGG
Molecule: long non-coding RNA, 8465 nt
Organism: Gallus gallus (chicken)
Lineage: Eukaryota; Metazoa; Chordata; Aves; Galliformes; Phasianidae
Source: Ensembl